RNAcentral lists this ribosomal RNA (484 nucleotides) under uncultured bacterium. RNAcentral's name for it is "bacterial SSU rRNA". It matches the Rfam family "Bacterial small subunit ribosomal RNA", at positions 28 to 507 of the family's 1533-position model. The record is from RNAcentral.
GACGAACGCUGGCGGCGUGCCUAACACAUGCAAGUCGAGCGGAGUCGAUCGACGGAAGCCUUCGGGCGGAAGAUGGUUGACUUAGCGGCGGAUGGGUGAGUAACGCGUGGGCAACCUGCCUCGAAGACCGGGAUAACAGCCCGAAAGGGCUGCUAAUACCGGAUGUGGUCAAAGAUCCGCAUGGAUUUUUGAUUAAAGGGGAAACCCGUUUCGAGAUGGGCCCGCGUCCUAUCAGCUAGUUGGUGAGGUAAAAGCUCACCAAGGCGACGACGGGUAGCCGGCCUGAGAGGGUGACCGGCCACACUGGAACUGAGACACGGUCCAGACUCCUACGGGGGGCAGGCAGUGGGGAAUCUUCCACAAUGGGCGAAAGCCUGAUGGAGCGACGCCGCGUGAGCGAAGAAGGCCUUCGGGUUGUAAAGCUCUGUCUGGAGGGACGAAGGAAGUGACGGUACCUCCGGAGGAAGCCACGGCUAACUACGUG